Molecule: ribosomal RNA, 327 nt
Filed under: uncultured eukaryote
Lineage: Eukaryota
Description: partial 18S ribosomal RNA
Rfam family: Eukaryotic small subunit ribosomal RNA
Source: RNAcentral
CCCUUAGAUGUUCUGGGCCGCACGCGCGCUACACUGACGAAUGUAACGAGCUUAUAACCUUGGCCGAAAGGUCUGGGUAAUCUCCAAAUUUCGUCGUGAUGGGGAUAGAUUAUUGCAAUUAUUAAUCUUCAACGAGGAAUGCCUAGUAAGCGCAAGUCAUCAGCUUGCGUUGAUUACGUCCCUGCCCUUUGUACACACCGCCCGUCGCUCCUACCGAUUGAAUGGUCCGGUGAAGCGCUCGGACCGCGGCCUCUUGACGGUUCGCUGUCGAUUGGCUGUGGGAAGUUCGUUAAACCUUAUCAUUUAGAGGAAGGAGAAGUCGUAACA